Molecule: long non-coding RNA, 547 nt
Filed under: Trifolium pratense (red clover)
Lineage: Eukaryota; Viridiplantae; Streptophyta; Magnoliopsida; Fabales; Fabaceae
Description: long non-coding RNA (TPRA_LNC010913)
Source: RNAcentral
CAUCUUGCAAGAAAGGGUUUCAAGUUUCAAUUGAAGAGAAGAGGAAGAAGCAGCGUGUCUGGGUAGAGCGCAGCUAUGCUCCAGUUUUAAUAGCUCCUUUUAAUCCUGUUAAAUGUAUAGAUGGCUGACAUGUGGCAAAAUUAAUUUUAAUGGCCGAGAUUAAAAGCUUGUAAUUAAGCAUAGAAAGGGUAACGACGAUUUCAUAAAAAGAGGAACGACGCGGUUCUUCUUCUUCUUUUAGUUGUUCCGUUCANNNNNNNNNNNNNNNGUUCCAUUAGAUAACAGUAAAACGCAGUAGUGAGUACUUUUCUAUAAGGAAUCAAUUUUGACCUUGAUUUUUUAACUCUUUGUCAAAAAUUAGAAAUCCACUAAAACUAACUAUACUUGUUACAUAUUCAUUCAUAAUCGAUUAUUAAUUUAUUGUAGCCUUCAUGUGAUGUUAAAGUGAGCUGAGGAAGUGAGCAAAGUGGAUUGGUUUGUCAUGCGAUUUAGAGACGAUGGCGAGAUUCGGUCAUGACAGCGGUUUCGAGGUGAUGUGUGGAAUGGA